GACGAACGCUGGCGGCGUGCCUAAUACAUGCCAGUUGAGCGCUGAAGGUUGGUACUUGUACCGACUGGAUGAGCAGCGAACGGGUGAGUAACGCGUGGGGAAUCUGCCUUUGAGCGGGGGACAACAUUUGGAAACGAAUGCUAAUACCGCAUAAAAACUUUAAACACAGGUUUUAAGUUUGAAAUAUGCAAUUGCAUCACUCAAAGAUGAUCCCGCGUUGUAUUAGCUAGUUGGUGAGGUAAAGGCUCACCAAGGCGAUGAUACAUAGCCGACCUGAGAGGGUGGUCGGCCACAUUGGGACUGUGACACGGCCCAAACUCCUUCGGGAGGCAGCAGUAGGGAAUCUUCGGCCAUGGGCGAAAGUCUGACCGCGCAACGCCGCGGGCGUGAAGAAGGUUUUCGGAUCGUAAAACUCUGUUGGUAGGGAAGAACGUGGGUGAGAGUGGAAAGCUCAUCAAGUGACGGUAACUACCCAGAAAGGGACGGCUAACUACGUG
Molecule: ribosomal RNA, 497 nt
Filed under: uncultured bacterium
Lineage: Bacteria
Description: partial 16S ribosomal RNA
Rfam family: Bacterial small subunit ribosomal RNA
Source: RNAcentral